UCACACAAGAGACCCAAAUUAACCGUAUACGGCGUAAAGAGUGGUGCCAUGAUACCAUAACAACUAGGAUUGAAGUGUAACUAGGCUGUCAUAAGCUCAAGAUAUACUUAAGAUCACCCUCAAGACGAUCCUAGCGUCUCUGAUUAAUUCAACCCCACGAAAGCUAGGGCACAAACUGGGAUUAGAUACCCCAUUAUGCCUAGCCCUAAAUCUUGAUGCUUACCACACCAAAGCAUCCGCCCGAGAACUACGAGCACAAACGCUUAAAACUCUAAGGACUUGGCGGUGCCCCAAACCCACCUAGAGGAGCCUGUUCUAUAAUCGAUAAUCCACGAUUCACCCAACCACCCCUCGCCAGAGCAGCCUACAUACCGCCGUCGCCAGCCCACCUUCCCUGAAAGUCCCACAGUGAGCAUAACAGCCCAAAUCCGCUAAUAAGACAGGUCAAGGUAUAGCCCAUGGGGUGGAAGAAAUGGGCUACAUUUUCUAUAAUAGAAAA
RNAcentral lists this ribosomal RNA (499 nucleotides) under Fratercula cirrhata. RNAcentral's name for it is "partial small subunit ribosomal RNA". It matches the Rfam family "Bacterial small subunit ribosomal RNA", at positions 521 to 1246 of the family's 1533-position model. The record is from RNAcentral. Lineage: Eukaryota; Metazoa; Chordata; Aves; Charadriiformes; Alcidae.